Molecule: ribosomal RNA, 561 nt
Filed under: uncultured marine eukaryote
Lineage: Eukaryota
Description: bacterial SSU rRNA
Rfam family: Eukaryotic small subunit ribosomal RNA
Source: RNAcentral
UUAAAAAGCCCGUAGUUGGAUCAAGAGUCAGACAGUGCCGUGGCCCUGUUUGCCAGUUUGGUUCCGAUCAGCUGGCGCAGCGGAUCACCCCGUGCGCCAACUGUCCGCUCUAACAGACCGAAACGUUCCCUGUGAGUAGCUCCUUAACUGGGGCUGAAAGCGCUUACGCAUCAACCAUAUGCAUACGGGACGUCGUCAAUGUUACUGUGAACAACCCAGCGUGUCCAAAACAGGCUUUUGCCUGAAUGUUCGAGCAUGGAAUAACAAGGGAUCGAUUCCCUCGGUUCUUUUUGCUGGUUUUUUAACCCGAGAAGGAGUAAUUCAGUCCACGGUGUCUGAGUUGGGUUUCCCUUCACCUCGGUGGAGGCCCCAAUUAGGCCGUGUACUUACGGGAUAAAUAGGGACUGACGGGGCCGUACGUACUUCCACGUCAGAAGUGAAAUUCUUAGAUCGUGGGAAGACGAACUUCUGCGAAAGCAUUCGACAAGAAUGUCUUCAUUAAUCAAGAACGAGAGUGUGGGGAUCCAANAUGAUCANAUACCGUCGUAAUCCACUACUGUA